ACACAUGCAGUCGAGCGGAUGAAGAGAGCUUGCUCUCUGAUUUAGCGGCGGACGGGUGAGUAAUGCCUAGGAAUCUGCCUGAUAGUGGGGGACAACGUUUCGAAAGGAACGCUAAUACCGCAUACGUCCUACGGGAGAAAGCAGGGGACCUUCGGGCCUUGCGCUAUCAGAUGAGCCUAGGUCGGAUUAGCUAGUUGGUGAGGUAACGGCUCACCAAGGCGACGAUCCGUAACUGGUCUGAGAGGAUGAUCAGUCACACUGGAACUGAGACACGGUCCAGACUCCUACGGGAGGCAGCAGUGGGGAAUAUUGGACAAUGGGCGAAAGCCUGAUCCAGCCAUGCCGCGUGUGUGAAGAAGGUCUUCGGAUUGUAAAGCACUUUAAGUUGGGAGGAAGGGCAUUAACCUAAUACGUUAGUGUUUUGACGUUACCGACAGAAUAAGCACCGGCUAACUUCGUGCCAGCAGCCGCGGUAAUACGAAGGGUGCAAGCGUUAAUCGGAAUUACUGGGCGUAAAGCGCGCGUAGGUGGUUUGUUAAGUUGAAUGUGAAAGCCCCGGGCUCAACCUGGGAACUGCAUCCAAAACUGGCAAGCUAGAGUAUGGCAGAGGGUGGUGGAAUUUCCUGUGUAGCGGUGAAAUGCGUAGAUAUAGGAAGGAACACCAGUGGCGAAGGCGACCACCUGGGCUAAUACUGACACUGAGGUGCGAAAGCGUGGGGAGCAAACAGGAUUAGAUACCCUGGUAGUC
This 748-nucleotide ribosomal RNA is filed under the name gamma proteobacterium BAL379. Its description in RNAcentral is "bacterial SSU rRNA". It matches the Rfam family "Bacterial small subunit ribosomal RNA", at positions 51 to 795 of the family's 1533-position model. Lineage: Bacteria; Pseudomonadati; Pseudomonadota; Gammaproteobacteria. The record is from RNAcentral.